AGUGAACGCUGGCGGUAGGCCUAACACAUGCAAGUCGAACGGCAGCACAGUAAGAGCUUGCUCUUACGGGUGGCGAGUGGCGGACGGGUGGGGAAUACAUCGGAAUCUACUUUUUCGUGGGGGAUAACGUAGGGAAACUUACGCUAAUACCGCAUACGACCUACGGGUGAAAGAAGGGGAUCUUCGGACCUUGCGCGAUUGAAUGAGCGGAGGUCGGAUUAGCUAGUUGGCGGGGUAAAGGCCCACCAAGGCGACGAUCCGUAGCUGGUCUGAGAGGAUGAUCAGCCACACUGGAACUGAGACACGGUCCAGACUCCUACGGGAGGCAGCAGUGGGGAAUAUUGGACAAAGGGCGCAAGCCUGAUCCAGCCAUACCGCGUGGGUGAAGAAGGCCUUCGGGUUGUAAAGCCCUUUUGUUGGGAAAGAAAAGCAGCAGGUUAAUACCCCGCUGUUCUGACGGUACCCAAAGAAUAAGCACCGGCUAACUUCGUG
Molecule: ribosomal RNA, 492 nt
Filed under: uncultured bacterium
Lineage: Bacteria
Description: partial 16S ribosomal RNA
Rfam family: Bacterial small subunit ribosomal RNA
Source: RNAcentral